GGAUGGGGUGUACGGGUAGCACGAAGAAUUUUGAAUUCUUAGGUGUAGGUUCAAUUCCUAUUGUCCUAG
This 69-nucleotide transfer RNA is filed under the name Mus cervicolor (fawn-colored mouse). RNAcentral describes it as "tRNA-Gln". It matches the Rfam family "tRNA". Rfam says of the family: Transfer RNA (tRNA) molecules are approximately 80 nucleotides in length. Their secondary structure includes four short double-helical elements and three loops (D, anti-codon, and T loops). Lineage: Eukaryota; Metazoa; Chordata; Mammalia; Rodentia; Muridae. The record is from RNAcentral.